ACGUCCUUCCAAACCCGUUUCGCC
Molecule: non-coding RNA, 24 nt
Filed under: Arabidopsis thaliana (thale cress)
Lineage: Eukaryota; Viridiplantae; Streptophyta; Magnoliopsida; Brassicales; Brassicaceae
Source: RNAcentral